GACGAACGCUGGCGGCGUGCUUAACACAUGCAAGUCGAACGGAAAGGCCUGCUUUCCCUUGUGGAUUGCGGGUACUCGAGUGGCGAACGGGUGAGUAACACGUGAGUGAUCUGCCCCCAACUUGGGUAUAAGCCUGGGAAACUGGGUCUAAUUCCCGAUAGGGCUGCAGGGUGGUGCCUGUGGUGGAAAACGAUUUUCUAGUGGUUGGGGAUGAGCUCGCGGCCUAUCAGCUUGUUGGUGGGGUAAUGGCCUACCAAGGCGGCGACGGGUAGCCGGCCUGGGAGGGUGGACGGCCACAUUGGGACUGAGAUACGGCCCAGACGCCUACGGGAGGUAGCAGUGGGGAAUAAUGGACAAUGGGCGGAAGCCUGAUGCAGCGACGCAGCGUGGGGGAUGACGGCCUUCGGGUUGUAAACUCCUUUCGACCGAGAGGAAGCCACCUGGUUGGAAGGGUGGUGACGGUAGUGGUAGAAGAAGCACCGGCUAACUACGUG
Molecule: ribosomal RNA, 494 nt
Filed under: uncultured bacterium
Lineage: Bacteria
Description: partial 16S ribosomal RNA
Rfam family: Bacterial small subunit ribosomal RNA
Source: RNAcentral